This 379-nucleotide ribosomal RNA is filed under the name uncultured eukaryote. Its description in RNAcentral is "partial 18S ribosomal RNA". It matches the Rfam family "Eukaryotic small subunit ribosomal RNA", at positions 592 to 976 of the family's 1831-position model. The record is from RNAcentral.
CAAUAGCGUAUAUUAAAGUUGUUGCAGUUAGAACGCUCGUAGUCGGAUUUCGGGGCGGGUCGACCGGUCUGCCGAUGGGUAUGCACUGGCCGACGCGUCCUUCCUUCCGGAGACCGUCUCACUCUUAACUGAGCGGAGGCGGGAGACGGAAUUUUUACUUUGAAAAAAUCAGAGUGUUUCAAGCAGGCAGCUCGCUCUUGCAUGGAUUAGCAUGGGAUAAUGAAAUAGGACUUUGGUGCUAUUUUGUUGGUUUCGAACACCGAAGUAAUGAUGAGAAGGGACAGUCAGGGGCACUCGUAUUCCGCCGAGAGAGGUGAAAUUCUCAGACCAGCGGAAGACGAACCACUGCGAAAGCAUUUGCCAGGGAUGUUUNCACUGA